This 253-nucleotide ribosomal RNA is filed under the name uncultured bacterium. RNAcentral describes it as "partial 16S ribosomal RNA". It matches the Rfam family "Bacterial small subunit ribosomal RNA", at positions 524 to 776 of the family's 1533-position model. The record is from RNAcentral.
GACAGAGGUGCCGAGCGUUAGGCGGAAUCAUUGGGCGUAAAGAGCGUGUAGGCGGCCAGAUAAGUCCGCUGUGAAAUCUCGAGGCUCAACUUCGAGCUGUCGGUGGAAACUAUCUGGCUAGAGUCCGGAAGAGGAGAAUGGAAUUCCUGGUGUAGCGGUGAAAUGCGCAGAUAUCAGGAAGAACACCCGUGGCGAAGGCGGUUCUCUGGGACGGUACUGACGCUGAGACGCGAAAGCGUGGGGAGCGAACAGG